UACGGGGGGUGCAAGCGUUGUUCGGAUUUACUGGGCGUAAAGGGCGCGUAGGCGGUGCAACAAGUCACUUGUGAAAUCUCCGGGCUUAACCCGGAGCGGCCAAGUGAUACUGUCGUGCUAGAGUGCGGAAGGGGCUACUGGAAUUCUCGGUGUAGCGGUGAAAUGCGUAGAUAUCGAGAGGAACACCUGCGGCGAAGGCGGGUAGCUGGGCCGACACUGACGCUGAGGCGCGAAAGCCAGGGGAGCGAACGGG
Molecule: ribosomal RNA, 253 nt
Filed under: uncultured bacterium
Lineage: Bacteria
Description: partial 16S ribosomal RNA
Rfam family: Bacterial small subunit ribosomal RNA
Source: RNAcentral